CGUGACGACAACGCGCCGCGCUUCACGCAGGCGGCGUACAGCAUGUCGGUGAGCGAGAACGACGCGGGCGCGGUGCGGCUGGGCAGCGUGAAGGCGACGGACUCGGACGCGGGCGCGAACGGGGCGCGUGAGGUACGCGCUGGUGCGGGAGGAGGGCUCGGAGGCGGCCGCCGUGUCGGUGGACGCCGAGAGCGGGGCCGUGUCGGUGGUGCGUCCGCUGGACUACGAGCAGGUGCGCGCCGUGGAGGUGACGGUGGUCGCGGCCGACGGGGGGCUCUCCGUCGCGGAGCGCCACGGCGCUGCUGCGGGUGCUGGUGCGGGACGAGAACGACAACGCGCCCGUGGUGCUGCACCCGCCGUCCGACGGCGGCGCGGCGCUGGGCGAGCUGGUGCCGCGGCGGGCGCCGCGGGCUACCUGGUGGCCAAGGUGGUGGCGGUGGACGCGGACGCGGGGCAGAACGCGUGGCUGUCCUACGAGCUGGCCAAGGCGACGGAGCCGGGGCUGUUCCGCGUGGGGCUGCACAGCGGCGAGGUGCGCACGGCGCGCGCCGUGGGCGAGCGCGACGCGGCCCGGCACCGGCUGGUGGUGCUGGUGCGGGACCCGCGGGCGGCCGCCGCGCUCCGCCAGCGCCACCCCUGGCCGUGGCCCCUGGCCGACGGCUUCUCCGAAGAGCACCUAAGGGCCGGCCAAGAGGCGCCGGCCGCCGAGCCCGACGCCCGCCUCACCCUCUACCUCAGCGUCUGCUUGGCCUGCGUGUCCGCGCUCUUCGUGGCCAGCGCCACGGCCGCCGUGGCCGCCAAGCUGAGGCGGGCCCGAAGGGGCGAGCCGGGGCCCUUGCCCGUCUUCCCGCAGUCGGCCGCCGACAGCAGCGCCGGCUCCCUGCCCCGCAGCUACGUCUACGACGUGCGCCUCGCCGCCCGGCACCGUCAACAGCGAGUUCCGCUUCCUCGGGCCGCUCUUCCCCUGCUUCCCCGCCGGGCUGCCGCCGGGCUCGGCCGAGCAGCGGAGCUCGCUCUGCUCGGGCCGGCCUCGGGCAAGAAGAAGGAGACUGGGCUGUGCAGGGCCGAGCUCCCCUCUCUGAAGGCACAGCUCCUGGGGCAGCGGAGGAGAAUGCCAGUUUGGAUCAAAGCCCCUGGCUCAGCCACCAGUAAGGGAGGAGAAGGAGAAGCAUCUUGGUCCUCAUGAACAGAUAACUUUCAAGUGAGAUGAAAGAGAGACCCAACAUGCCCCAUAUAAGUGACUGGGCUGUGCCAGAGUUUUCUGUGGGUGGAAGGAUUCCUACCUCUUAAUCAACACUUUAUUCUUGUGUUUCUUUUGGAUUUGUGUUAAGUUUGGAGAUGGGUGCAUGCUGGGAACGCUGAGAUUUGGUAUCUAACUGUGAUAGUGCUAUUGCUCCUAUGUACCAAGUGAAGAAUUGGAUGAAAAUAUUCUGAUGCUCUAGCUUUCAUUUUCCUGCAUCUGCUUUUAUGCUUUCUUUUUGGUUGUCUGGUGGGCUCUGUAAUAAUGCAAUCUAUUCAAUACCAGGCCGUGUAGUUGUUCAUCAAAGCUGAAUGUUGCCAGAAAAGAUAUUGUUUGGUAACAUUGAGAUGCUGUGUAAUGUAGAGAUGGCUGACAUUGACACAGUGCACGCUCAACCAGGAGUUCCCUUGUUCUGCAUGCUGUGAAUAGUCCUCUUUGGGCACUGCGUUUCUUUUUUAUUCACUUGGUUCUCUUCCCCAAUGUAAAGUCAAAAUGAAGAGUUCUGUUGCGUUUCAGGGAUAUCAAGUUUAAUACUGGAGGGAAUUCAGUGCUGUGUGAUACUUCUGGUGUUUUGUGUUAUGCUUGUGCUUCCAAGAGUUGAAUUUUGGUUGACAGAGCCCAAUAAAAUCUACUGAAAAUCUACUGAUAGAAUCUUU
This is a long non-coding RNA of Coturnix japonica (Japanese quail), 1896 nucleotides long. NCBI's taxonomy places the organism in Eukaryota, Metazoa, Chordata, Aves, Galliformes, Phasianidae. The record is from Ensembl.